AUACGGAGGAUGCAAGCGUUAUCCGGAUUUAUUGGGUUUAAAGGGUGCGUAGGCGGAUGAUUAAGCGUGAGGUGAAAUGCCACUGCUCAACAGUGGAACUGCCUCGCGAACUGGUUGUCUUGAAUGCUCCUGCCGUGGGAGGAAUGUGUGGUGUAGCGGUGAAAUGCAUAGAGAUCACACAGAACACCGAUUGCGAAGGCAUCUCACGAAGGGGUGAUUGACGCUGAGGCACGAAAGCGUGGGGAUCAAACAGGAUUAGAUACCCUGGAAGUCCACGCAGUAAACGAUGAUAACUAACCGCUGGGUCGUAGUGAUUCAGUGGCCAAGCGAAAGCGAUAAGUUAUCCACCUGGGGAGUACGACCGCAAGGUUGAAACUCAAAUGAAUUGGCGGGG
Molecule: ribosomal RNA, 394 nt
Filed under: uncultured bacterium
Lineage: Bacteria
Description: partial 16S ribosomal RNA
Rfam family: Bacterial small subunit ribosomal RNA
Source: RNAcentral